CUAUGCUUCUAUGUUUGCUAUAGGGUCAGGAACACAAACAUGUAUUCCUGACCCUAUAGUGCUCAACCCACCAUUUAGGUGGCUUGCCCUCCACCUUACCCCCCUUAAAAGGAGUUACAACUCCCCUUAUUGCUGAUUUUUAGCCACAAUAAUUUGUGGUCUUGUCGGAAUAAUGUUUAUUAGCACAUAUUCCUGUUGUAGUGCAUGACAAU
Molecule: non-coding RNA, 212 nt
Organism: Pelobates cultripes (western spadefoot toad)
Lineage: Eukaryota; Metazoa; Chordata; Amphibia; Anura; Pelobatidae
Source: the annotation of a GenBank genome assembly